Molecule: non-coding RNA, 83 nt
Organism: Xylariaceae sp. FL0594
Lineage: Eukaryota; Fungi; Ascomycota; Sordariomycetes; Xylariales; Xylariaceae
Source: the annotation of a GenBank genome assembly
GGCCUCGUGGCCCAAUGGCAAGGCGUCUGACUACGAUUUGUAGUGUAAUCAGGAGAUUCUGGGUUCGACCCCCAGCGAGGUCA